GAUGAAGAACGCAGCGAAAUGCGAUAAGUAAUGCGAAUUGCAGAAUUCAGUGAAUCAUCGAAUCUUUGAACGCACAUUGCGCCCGCUAGUAUUCUGGCGGGCAUGCCUGUCUGAGCGUCAUUUCAACCCUCGCCCCCGGCUUUUGCUGGGAGCGGUGUUGGGGAUCGGCCGCCCGUCACUGGGAGGCCGGCCCCGAAAUAGAGUGGCGACCACGCCGUGUGCUCCUCUGCGUAGUAGUAAAUCACCUCGCAGGCGGACAGCGGUGCGGCCUGCCGUAAAACCCCCAACUCUUUCUGGUUGACCUCAGAUCAGGUAGGAAUACCCGCUGAACUUAAGCAUAUCAUAAGCGGAGGA
Molecule: unclassified non-coding RNA, 354 nt
Filed under: soil metagenome
Description: partial contains 5.8S ribosomal RNA, internal transcribed spacer 2, and large subunit ribosomal RNA
Rfam family: 5.8S ribosomal RNA (bases 1-120)
Source: RNAcentral